Molecule: ribosomal RNA, 426 nt
Filed under: uncultured Actinomycetes bacterium
Lineage: Bacteria; Bacillati; Actinomycetota; Actinomycetes
Description: bacterial SSU rRNA
Rfam family: Bacterial small subunit ribosomal RNA
Source: RNAcentral
AACGCGAAGAACCUUACCUGGGCUUGACAUGUGCCUGACCGCCCUGGAAACAGGGCUUCCCUUCGGGGCAGGUUCACAGGUGGUGCAUGGCUGUCGUCAGCUCGUGUCGUGAGAUGUUGGGUUAAGUCCCGCAACGAGCGCAACCCCCGUCGCAUGUUGCCAGCAUUUAGUUGGGGACUCAUGCGAGACUGCCGGUGACAAACCGGAGGAAGGUGGGGAUGACGUCAAGUCAUCAUGCCCCUUAUGUCCAGGGCUACACACGUGCUACAUUGGCGCAUACAGAGGGCUGCGAUACCGCGAGGUGGAGCGAAUCCCUUAAAGUGCGUCUCGGUUCGGAUUGCAGGCUGAAACUCGCCUGCAUGAAGGCGGAGUUGCUAGUAAUCGCGGAUCAGCAUUGCCGCGGUGAAUACGUUCCCGGGCCUUGUA